Molecule: ribosomal RNA, 253 nt
Filed under: uncultured Fervidobacterium sp.
Lineage: Bacteria; Thermotogati; Thermotogota; Thermotogae; Thermotogales; Fervidobacteriaceae
Description: partial 16S ribosomal RNA
Rfam family: Bacterial small subunit ribosomal RNA
Source: RNAcentral
UGGGGGAUUUUGGACAAUGGGCGAAAGCCUGAUCCAGCGACGCCGCGUGGAGGACGAAGCCCUUCGGGGUGUAAACUCCUUUUCUCAGGGAAAAAAGCUGAUGGUACCUGAGGAAUAAGCCCCGGCUAACUACGUGCCAGCAGCCGCGGUAAUACGUAGGGGGCGAGCGUUACCCGGAAUUACUGGGCGUAAAGGGUGCGUAGGCGGCCGUGUGUGUCUGGCGUUAAAGUCCACGGCUCAACUGUGGGUAUGC